UCAGGAUGAACGCUAGCGGCAGGCUAACACAUGCAAGUCGAGGGGCAGCGGGAUGUAGCAAUACAUUGCCGGCGACCGGCGGAUGGGUGCGUAACGCGUAUGCAACCUACCUUAUACAGGGGAAUAACCUUUCGAAAGGGAGACUAACACCCCAUGGUAUUGAUUUAAGGCAUCUUAGAUUAAUUAAAUAUUUAUAGGUAUAAGAUGGGCAUGCGUAUGAUUAGCUAGUUGGUAAGGUAACGGCUUACCAAGGCGACGAUCAUUAGGGGUUCUGAGAGGAAGGUCCCCCACACUGGUACUGAGACACGGACCAGACUCCUACGGGAGGCAGCAGUGAGGAAUAUUGGUCAAUGGGCGCAAGCCUGAACCAGCCAUGCCGCGUGCAAGGAAGACGGCCUUAUGGGUUGUAAACUGCUUUUACAUAAGACUAACCGUAUAUUUGCGAAUAUACCUGAAUGUAUUAUGAGAAUAAGGAUCGGCUAACUCCGUGCCAGCAGCUGC
This 501-nucleotide ribosomal RNA is filed under the name uncultured bacterium. RNAcentral's name for it is "bacterial SSU rRNA". It matches the Rfam family "Bacterial small subunit ribosomal RNA", at positions 24 to 518 of the family's 1533-position model. The record is from RNAcentral.